UCAUGGGUGGUUCAGUGGUAGAAUUCUUGCCUUCCCUGCAGGAGACCUGGGUUUGAUUUCUGGCCAAUGUA
This 71-nucleotide transfer RNA is filed under the name Loxodonta africana (African savanna elephant). It matches the Rfam family "tRNA". From Rfam's summary of the family: Transfer RNA (tRNA) molecules are approximately 80 nucleotides in length. Their secondary structure includes four short double-helical elements and three loops (D, anti-codon, and T loops). Lineage: Eukaryota; Metazoa; Chordata; Mammalia; Proboscidea; Elephantidae. The record is from Rfam by way of RNAcentral.